GGGAGCUUGGCUCAGUUGGAAGAGCGCAGGUCUCAUACGAUUACAAGUAUGAUCUGGCUGUCUUAACACCAGAGUUAUCCUGAGGUCGUGAGUUCGAGCCUCACAGUUCCCA
This is a transfer RNA of Podospora anserina, 112 nucleotides long. It matches the Rfam family "tRNA". From Rfam's summary of the family: Transfer RNA (tRNA) molecules are approximately 80 nucleotides in length. Their secondary structure includes four short double-helical elements and three loops (D, anti-codon, and T loops). Further hydrogen bonds mediate the characteristic L-shaped molecular structure. tRNAs have two regions of fundamental functional importance: the anti-codon, which is responsible for specific mRNA codon recognition, and the 3' end, to which the tRNAs corresponding amino acid is attached (by aminoacyl-tRNA synthetases). tRNAs cope with the degeneracy of the genetic code in two manners: having more than one tRNA (with a specific anti-codon) for a particular amino acid; and 'wobble' base-pairing, i.e. permitting non-standard base-pairing at the 3rd anti-codon position. The record is from Rfam. NCBI's taxonomy places the organism in Eukaryota, Fungi, Ascomycota, Sordariomycetes, Sordariales, Podosporaceae.